CUGCUCCAACUAUGGCUCAGUCAGUGCGGCUCAGGCUCUUCACGGGAGCGCAUCGUAUCAACUACAAAGACGCUUGUUGGAGUUCCAGCAGAGAUCAUCACUUCAGUGGACCACAAGGAGGAACCCGCUUUUUCUAUUAAUUAUUGGAAAUAAUCACACUGAUCGAUAUGCGUGAUUUACAAAAGCAGCUAUCGCUUUACGCAAGGAUUCUUUGGACACAUAAAGAGGAUUAUUUUCUGUCAUUGCACUACUGACACACGUGGAGGAGUUAUUAUUAUUAUUGGUAAAACUUUAUGAUGGCAACAGCUGAUGGAUUCAACACUCCAGCUGUGUAUAGUUCUGUAGGAUAUGAGGAAAUACUAUCUUUUUUACACGGGAUGAGUGGUGUCCAUUUCUCUUGCUGCCAAAGUCCUUCUGCUGGACAAGCCGUUUAUCGGACAGACGAGUCUCUUGGGAUAUUAUACGCGUGUGACUAGUGCCAUAGUUGGCCAACACCAUGAUACAUUUUGGAAAUCAAUAUAUGUUGCGGUGGAUUUUGACACUAGGAAAGGAAUAUCCUGGAAUAUAAUUUAAAAACGAUGCUCAGCAGAUGUCCAGCAGUUUGGAUAAUGACAGAACGCAUCUCCUCAGCAGUGAAGGAAUUCAAAUUCUUGGAAUGAGAUGUCAAACUUUAAUUGCUUCCCAGGGAUCUUCUGAUGAUCUCAGGUGAGCACCCAGAAGAGGCUGAGUAAUGGAAACGUGAUCUCAUGAGAUUCAACAGGAUCAUACUCAAUCCUGGUUUAGACUGUGGACCAGCAUCCCCUGCUACAGAUGUUUGCUCCUGGCAUGGCUGCGAACAGUUUGAGCUCCAUCACUGACAAUGUCACUCUCGGGAUCCAGCGCCAGCAGCUUGGACUUGGAGAAGCCGUGACAUAAACUCAGCGGGACAGUGGAGUGUAUUCUGCAGCUCAGACAUUAUGGAACAGAUCAGUCAACCCCGUCUGGAGAGGCGCUCGGUAGGAAAGUCCACUCCACGAAUGCACAUUCACCGUAGUUACCACAAUGGAUCUACACAUUGUUUGACUUUUUCUAAAUUGAACCUGGAUUAAUAUUUUCCUGUACAUACAUCUGCUUUUGAUAUUCACUGUUUAUUCACACUGUUGCUCAUACAUCGCAGUUGUGACAUAUACUAUGUUAUUCUGGAUACAAUAUCAACAAGCGCUGGAACAGUAAAUGGAAAAUAAUCAAAUGUUAUUUUUCAGUUUUAGUUCUAUUUUUACAGACUGAAGGCGGUGCUUACACCAGUGCAGUCACAUACAAAGUGUACUGUAUCUUGUGAAAAGCACAAAAAAAGUUUCUAUAGUGUAAAAAGAACACAUACAUGAUGAAGAUUCCAUUGAAGGGUUACUCAGUCAUUGGAAAUGUAACUUUAUCAUUUGAUAUCUCCUAAUUACAAUCACAAAGAAGCCAUUGUAAUGUUGCUUUUGAAUGCAACUCUUUAUUGACACUAGGUUUUAUUGUGACACAUUGGCAGCCUUUGUAAGUAUUGGUUAACAAUACUGUCAAGGUGCUUAUUCUGAUGAUUAUUUAUUGCUCCAUAACAGUUGUUGUGGCGGUAAAACCCUACUAACAGAAAUUAAAUAAAGAAAGUUUU
Molecule: long non-coding RNA, 1633 nt
Organism: Etheostoma spectabile (orangethroat darter)
Lineage: Eukaryota; Metazoa; Chordata; Actinopteri; Perciformes; Percidae
Exons: 4
Source: RefSeq, a predicted model, not a curated record